This 280-nucleotide unclassified non-coding RNA is filed under the name Hevea brasiliensis (rubber tree). The record is from RNAcentral. Lineage: Eukaryota; Viridiplantae; Streptophyta; Magnoliopsida; Malpighiales; Euphorbiaceae.
UCCUUCCAAGCACCACAUAACCAUCUAGCUGACUUAGAAGCAGCAGAAUGCCUAACCUGCACUCUUUGUCCUGGAUAAUGGGGGUAUAUUGAAUCUUCAAGUAUGUUUGGAGAAAUAGGCAAGAGCUGUUCUGUUUCAUCUGCAGUAACCUCACACUUUGUCCCAUCAUCGAAGAUGAUGACGACAUUGUCAACAAUUUUAUCAACCCUUCCAAUCCAUGGCCCAUGGACCACAUAAUCUCCCACUGAAAUGGAGAGAAUCUUUAGAAGAUUCUUGGAAU